Molecule: long non-coding RNA, 1159 nt
Organism: Onychomys torridus (southern grasshopper mouse)
Lineage: Eukaryota; Metazoa; Chordata; Mammalia; Rodentia; Cricetidae
Exons: 3
Source: RefSeq, a predicted model, not a curated record
AACGCGAAGCUGACCUACGAACUCUCCCGCUGACGUCUUGCGCGCUUCCUGGCCCGUUGCCUUGGGAACGGGUUAACCCUCUCCUCCUGCGGAACACCCCAGCCUGGCUCUCUUGCCUUCGACUGUCUGCCUUGGGCCGCCCCGCCUCCCUGGGCUUGGUUUCCCACGUUGCACAGCUAGAUCAAGGGUCCACGAACGGUCCAUCCUUCAGAAUGGCCCUGCUCCGUGCUCAGCAUCUUCAGGGAGAACCCCACGUCAUGCACCAGGCUCGGGCCCUAGCUGAACCUCCAGUCAUUCCAAGGGGAGCGCUCACCCCAUGUGGCAUCGAAAUUGGGACAUAAGGCUUUGCCCACCAAGAAGCCGAGCCUCAGAGUCUUUGGAGACAUCUAAAGAGAUAUGGCUGCUUCCCCACAAUGGAGCUUAUGAAAGCCAGUUUUAUAGCCAGUCUUUAUGAACAUGAAAGUAACUAACAUCACUGGCCUGCGUCAUUCCAAGAUGGCCAGCAGCUGAUCCGAAGUCACCACGGAAACUCCAGAGAGGAGUGACAUCUGCAGUAAACAAGGUCUCACUUUUAUGUCUGGCUGGAAGACAUGACAUUCUCAGAUGGGAAAGAAAGGUCGCUGUUUCUAAGGUGUCCCUUGAGCUCUAGUGUUAAAUUCAGUGCCUUCAAACUUUGCUACUGUUUGACAUAUUCUGUAACUUUAAAAGAAAGUCCCACAUUUCUUGUUCAUUUCAUCUGUGCUAUUCCGUGAUUUCCCCAGCAACUAAGUUCCAAGAAUCUAUUCAACUGAUCUGCCAAGUUUCCCGUUAUCCUAUUAAGUUUUUAUUAUUUCUUUUCCAUCCUGGCAUCCUUGGAAGUACCUGCAGUGCCAGCUGACAUCUAGCGGUUUGGUCAGCGCUGGUUUUGGUACAAAAGCCUCUCAUCUAGAUGUUCCCAGUGCCAUUUUACAUGUGGGUACCCCUCUCUGCAGAAACAACACUUAACUUCUUAAACACCAUACAGCACAGUGUAGACGCCAGUCAUUUCUCUGAAUGUGACGAUCUGAGUCCUCCAUGAGACACAGUGUCUUCUGUCACUCCAGUUUCAUGCUUUGAUUCCGCUGGCACUGCUCUCUUGGUUUUUGUUCUUGUGUUUUGUUUUGUUUUGAGACAGUGUCUC